UUUUUAUUUUUGUGUAUUAUUAUUAUAAUCGUACUUAUCUGCGAUUAGUACACAACCGAUUUCUCCAAUUCCCAAGAAAUUUUGUUUUCUCUAAAUUCCUCUCUCCCCUCCAUUCCACCGAAAUCACCCCAUACCAAUGCCACGUGUGAUUUUCUUUCGUUAGAAAUAUCUUCAUUAUUUGAAACGGUUUUUACCUGAUUUUCAACUACCAACAUAGCUGGUGGGGCCAGAGAGGGGGUAGGUGCUCGUAAGUCUAGUCGUAAUGCUUUCGUGUUGUACGUGGCUGUCGCGUGCCCAUGCGUUGAUCAUGUUUUUUGCCCUCCCCCACCCAUCUAUCAUCGUUUGUUCACCUGGUGACUGCCAACGGCAAUGAUGGCGGGGUGGUUUCCACCGGAACCGCCUGCACUGUCACGUGGUUAUGUCUUGUGACUGAGAGUGUCGGAUGAUUAAUUCUCUGACACAAAGUUUAACGUGGUCGUGUGGUUCAUUUUUUUUUCAGGUGUUCCGAGAUAAUAAAUUUAAAAAAAAAUAUAUUUUUUUUUUAUUAUUUAUGGUUUACUCAUACCUACUGAUAAAUGUAAAAUGAUAACCUAUUACAUUUUAUCUGAGCAUUUUUCUAUCAAAAAGAUCAUUAUUUUAGGACUCAAGUGAGCGAUUGCAAUUGUAUUGAAAUCGCAUGUCUCAUCUUAAUUUCUGUUGGUAGAUUAUUGCUUAGGUAUAUAAAUUAGUGAAUUAGUUUAAUGGACAGUUUUUGGUGUGUUAUAUCCAUACAUUGAAUAUUAUGCUCUUGAUACAAUAGUAAUAGGUACUUUUUAUUAAUUUUUAAUAAGUACCUAGGUGUUAUUGUAUAAUAGUUAUUUAAAUAAUAGAAAUUAGAUUAGGUAGGUACUUAUGAUUGUUUUUUUAAACAUGAUAAAAAAAUAAUAAAUCUAUUUAAUAUCCAUUAAUAAAUUUAAUACCUACAUAUCAAUUAUUAAGGUAUUAAGUAUGUAUAUAGAUUUGUAUCUAGAUGACUGGAAAUAAUAAAAAUUAAUCUUACAUGGGUACCUAGUAUCUAUAUAUUAAAGUAAUCUGACAGUUUAAAUCAGUGGUUCAUAACCUUUUUCGAAUGACUGAACACUUAAAAUUUUAUAAGAUUUUCGAAGGACUCAUCCUUAAAAUAAAACAAUAGUUAUAUUUAUUUAGUUAAUAGUUAAUUUGAUACUUAUGCGUUAUCGCGACUACCACUUAUUAUGGGUUAUACCUAGCAUGCCGUGUCCCACUCUAAUCUUGCAUUUUGCAAGUGAAUUCUAUUUCUAAUUCUAUUUGGGAUAAUGAGUGCUUAGGGACCAGCGUUUCCACUCGCUCGCUGUGCUUACGAGUGACAUUCAAAACAAAAAUAUUCCUUGAUUUGUUAUGCAACACCGCCUAAGGUAGGUUACAAGUAACAACAUUAUCAAUAAAUACAUUGACAUUAGCUUUGGAUAGUUUUGUAUUAUUAUACAUGUAUUAAACAGACGUGCAUAAGUGCAUUGCACGCCAUGUGUUCGACAUUAAGGUAGUCACGAUAACGCAUAAGUACUUACCGUUAAUUUAGUCAGGACACUUAUACUAAGUCCAUGGAACACCGGUUAAGAACCACUGGUCUAUAUAUGAAUUAUUAUUAUAAUUUUUUUAGGAAGGCAGUGGUAGGUGCUUAUUAAUAGUAUUUUUAUUUUGAUAUACAAUUAAAGAUUUAUUUUUAUUGUUUAUUCCUAUGGCAUAGACAAUGUAACAAUACAUAUUAUAUAUAUAUAUAUAUAUAUUUAUUAUUUAUGAAUAGUAAUAAGCAGGUAGCAAAAUAGAAAUAGUAGUUAUAUGAUCAAUAGUAAGUUGAAAUCGAGGUUGAAAUGUGUUUACGCCUUACGGCAUACAUUCAGAUCUGAUAAAAUAUAAUAAGUAUACUUUGUCCAGUAAGAGUAUGCACAGUGGUUGAAUAUAAAUUAGUUCUGUGUGUUCCCACUUAACACCCUGCCAUUGAAGUCAUUUCAACUAUAGCGGGAUGUUAUGUGGUGAUAAGCAAAAUUGGCAUAUUCUUUCUGUACAGUAUAGGUAGUUAAUUAUUUAGUUUGAUUUAGUUCGAGGUAUUUUACAUAUACCUAUUUAUUUUAUUAAUAUUCAUGAUGAUAUUAACGAGACAAGCAUAUGUCUGAAUAAAUUUGCUGUGAACUUAAAUCUGAUAUAUUAAUAAUUAAAUAGUUAUGACUAAAACAUUUCAAAAUAAUAUUAUAUUCAAAUAUACAGGAAACUCAAUUUUACUCAUACACUAAAAAUUUGAACUUUGAUUUAAGUAGGUAUAUGGAUUAAUAUUAAUGAUGAUAUUAACGAGACAAGCAUAUGUCUGAACAAAUUUGCUGUGAACUCAUUUCUGAUAUAUUAAUAAUAAAAUAGGUACCUAUGACUAAAACAUUUCAAAAUUAUAUAUUUAAUAGCAUAAUAUAAUAUUUACAGUUAGGUCUAGCUAUAAUCUAUAUCCUUAUUUUAUUAUUUAGGAAACUAAAUUUUACUUAGGUAUUACACUAAGAAUUUGAACUUUGAUUUAAGUAGGUAUAUGGAUUAAUAUUAAUGAUGAUAUUAACGAGACAAGCAUAUGUCUGAACAAAUUUGCUGUUAACUCAUUUCUGAUAUAUUAAUAAUAAAAUAGGUAGGUAUGACUAAAACAUUUCUAAAUUAUAUAUUUAAUUAUAUAGAAAACUCAAUUUUACUUAUAGGUACACUGAGAAUUUGAACUUUUAAUUUAAGUAGGUACCUAAAUGGAUUAAAUUUAAUGAUGAUAUUAACGAGACAAGCAUAUGUCUGAAUAAAUUUGCUGUGAACUCAUAUCUGAUACAUUAAUAAUAAAAUAGGUAAGACUAAAAAAUUUCAAAAUUAUUUAGGAAACUCAAUUUUACUUAUCCACUAAGAAUUUGAAUUUUGAUUCAAGUAAAUGGAUUAAUUUUGAUGAUGAUUUUAAAGAGAGACAAGCAUAUAUCUGAAUGAAUUUGCUGCUAACUUAUAUCUGAUGUAUUAAUAAUAAAAUAGGUAAGACUAAAAAAUUUCAAAAUUAUUUAGGAAACUCAAUUUUACUUAUCCACUAAGAAUUUGAAUUUUGAUUCAAGUAAAUGGAUUAAUUUUGAUGAUGAUUUUAAAGAGAGACAAGCAUAUAUCUGAAUGAAUUUGCUGCGAACUUAUAUCUGAUGUAUUAAUAAUAAAAUAGGUGAGACUAAAAAAUUUCAAAAUUAUUUAGGAAACUCAAUUUUACUUAUCUACUAAGAAUUUGAAUUUUGAUUCAAGUAAAUGGAUUAAUUUUGAUGAUUUUAAAGAGAGACAAGCAUAUAUCUGAAUGAAUUUGCUGCGAACUUAUAUCUGAUGUAUUAAUAAUAAAAUAGCCAUGACUAAAACAUUUUAAAAUGGCAUUAUAUUUAAUAAUAAUAGGUAUUAAUUAUAGUUAGAUCUAUCUAUAUUUAUUUAAUUGUUUAGGAAAUCCAAUUUUAAGAUGAUUUUAAAGAGACAAGCAUAUGUCUGAAUAUAUUUGCUGUGAACUCAUAUGAUAUUUUGGAACAUUUACUUAAUAUAAUUAUUUAAAAAGUUUACUGAUCAGGUUCUAAUACCAAUUAAUGUCUUUUAAGUUCAGUUACUUAUGUGUUUACCAUCAUUUUGUAAGUUUGUUGGUCAUUGAUUAAUAUCAUAUUGAUUAUUAUGAAUAAAUAUGUUUUCAUGCAGUGUUCAAUUGGCUGUAUUUCUAUUUAUUAGAACUUAUUCAGUUUAUAAGUUUUCGGAGUAGAAACUGCAAAAAGACCUAUAGAAAUUAGUGUUGCUAUCAUUAAUGUAUCCAUUUACUUAAUAUAUAAACCUUCUAUACAGCUAUCUAAAUCCCCUAACUUGUCAAUUCUUGUCAUAAAUGUAUAGUAAUCUCAUUCUUUUGGUAGAGUUAAGCUAAGUCUUUUCUACUUUCCUCCUGCAAAAAGAAAAUUGUAUUUAUAUAAUAUAUUUUUACUUAUGUACAAUGUUGUUAUGGUUCUGAUUAAUUAUUUAAGGACUAAUUAUUCAAAUACUAAUUUAUGUUGUAACAUUUUUUUC
Long non-coding RNA from Aphis gossypii (cotton aphid), 4077 nucleotides. RefSeq lists it as uncharacterized. The record is from RefSeq and is a predicted model, not a curated record. The transcript has 3 exons. NCBI's taxonomy places the organism in Eukaryota, Metazoa, Arthropoda, Insecta, Hemiptera, Aphididae.